UGGUAGAGCGGGCACUCAUAUAUAGAGGUUUACUCCUCAACGUGGCGGCCGCGGGUUUGAUUCCGACCUGCAAUCCUUUGCUGUGUGUCAUUCCCCUUUCAGUCAUC
This is a long non-coding RNA of Etheostoma spectabile (orangethroat darter), 107 nucleotides long. RefSeq lists it as uncharacterized. The transcript has 3 exons. Lineage: Eukaryota; Metazoa; Chordata; Actinopteri; Perciformes; Percidae. The record is from RefSeq and is a predicted model, not a curated record.